UACGUAGGGGGCAAGCGUUGUCCGGAAUCAUUGGGCGUAAAGAGCGCGUAGGCGGUCCGGUAAGUCCGCUGUGAAAGUCAAGGGCUCAACCCUUGAAUGCCGGUGGAUACUGUCGGGCUAGAGUCCGGAAGAGGCGAGUGGAAUUCCUGGUGUAGCGGUGAAAUGCGCAGAUAUCAGGAGGAACACCGGUGGCGAAGGCGGGUCUCUGGGCCGAAAUUGACGCUGAGGAGCGAAAGCGUGGGGAGCAAACAGG
RNAcentral lists this ribosomal RNA (253 nucleotides) under uncultured bacterium. RNAcentral's name for it is "partial 16S ribosomal RNA". It matches the Rfam family "Bacterial small subunit ribosomal RNA", at positions 524 to 776 of the family's 1533-position model. The record is from RNAcentral.